This is a non-coding RNA of Phoenix dactylifera (date palm), 190 nucleotides long. Lineage: Eukaryota; Viridiplantae; Streptophyta; Magnoliopsida; Arecales; Arecaceae. The record is from RefSeq and is a predicted model, not a curated record.
GAGUGGUGGCGCAGUUGGCUAGCGCUUUGGUCUCAUAGCUUCUUUAAGAGAGUUAUCCUGAGGUCGAGAGUUCGAGCCUCUCCUCCUCCAAUAAAGGAGAAAAGAGCCAUGAGGAUAACUGCGCAACCUGUGAUGCUAGGGCGCAUCACGACCGUCAGAUUAUUCCGACGAAACUGCGCUUCUGAGCUCU